RNAcentral lists this unclassified non-coding RNA (342 nucleotides) under soil metagenome. Its description in RNAcentral is "partial contains 5.8S ribosomal RNA, internal transcribed spacer 2, and large subunit ribosomal RNA". The stretch from base 1 to 121 matches the Rfam family "5.8S ribosomal RNA", at positions 35 to 154 of the family's 154-position model. The record is from RNAcentral.
GAUGAAGAACGUAGUGAAAUGCGAUAAGUAAUGCGAAUUGCAGAAUUCCAGUGAAUCAUCGAAUCUUUGAACGCACAUUGCGCCCUUUGGUAUUCCAAAGGGCAUGCCUGUUCGAGCGUCAUUUGUACCCUCAAGCUUUGCUUGGUGUUGGGCGUCUUGUCUCUAGCUUUGCUGGAGACUCGCCUUAAAGUAAUUGGCAGCCGGCCUACUGGUUUCGGAGCGCAGCACAAGUCGCACUCUCUAUCAGCAAAGGUCUAGCAUCCACUAAGCCUUUUUUUCAACUUUUGACCUCGGAUCAGGUAGGGAUACCCGCUGAACUUAAGCAUAUCAAUAAGCGGAGGA